CCUGCACCUAGAGACAUGGUAUGUGUGACUGUUGUGUCACAUGUGUAUCAGUAGGUAACAGAGAAGAGAGAGACUAUGUCUAUGCUCAAUGUUAUAAACUGGGAACAUCUGAAAGACUAGUAGCCUAACACU
Grammomys surdaster is the source of this 132-nucleotide small nucleolar RNA. RefSeq annotates it as small nucleolar RNA SNORA17. The record is from RefSeq and is a predicted model, not a curated record. NCBI's taxonomy places the organism in Eukaryota, Metazoa, Chordata, Mammalia, Rodentia, Muridae. The transcript has a single exon.